This is an RNA transcript of Brassica oleracea var. oleracea, 738 nucleotides long. It is a transcript of the gene named beta carbonic anhydrase 5, chloroplastic-like, with no coding region annotated. The record is from RefSeq and is a predicted model, not a curated record. NCBI's taxonomy places the organism in Eukaryota, Viridiplantae, Streptophyta, Magnoliopsida, Brassicales, Brassicaceae. The transcript is spliced from 6 exons.
UGCCUUGUCUCUCUUUUUUUUCGUCGUUGUCUUUCUUGUGGUCUGCUCUUGCUGUCCUUUCAUGGCAUCCUCUAUCUCCCAUGAUCCUUCUUCUUCCUUCACGUCUCUCCUUAAUCUCCAAUACCAACAAUCGAUCUUCGGUUACAAGGACAAAGCAAGGGACUUUGAGAAAACCCAGUUGAGGAUUCCCGCUUCUUUCAGAAGAAAAAUUGUCAACUUGCAAAUGAUGGCGUCAGGAAAGACACCUGGGCUGACUCAGGAAGCUAAUGACCGCACUUAUGAGGCUAAAAUUGAUAGAGAUAAUAAUAACACUGAUGUGUUUGACGACAUGAAACAACGGUUCCUCGCCUUCAAGAAGCAUAAGUUGCGUUCUUCAAAUACAAGGAGGAACCAGUGAAUCUCUGAUGCUACUGCUAAGCUGCUGGUUUGCAAGUUAAUGAAUUAUGUUCAUCAAACACCUCAAGGCUGGCAACUCCUCUCCAUCAAGUCGUUGUGUCUCUCUGCUGGAAGUAAACCUCGAGAUUCUUCUUCCAGGAAACUUGGGUCGUAUCUGAUCCAAUCUCAAUUCCAGUGUGCUGGAAACUCUAGUGCUCUUUUCUUGACUGCUGCCGCUCAGAAUUUACUCUUUUCUUGGUUUAAGGCAGCUAGUCAUUUUUGUUUAAAUGUUAUGAAAUCCAAUAAUUUAUAAAUUUUGUAACAUUUAAAUUUGAUAAUUGAACUUCUAAAUUCAAAGGGGUU